AUCUCUCUCAUUGCAGAAAGCUCUUUCAGUAUGUUUCAUCUCUCCAUGCGUUCACUGUAGAAGCUCUUACAAUUUUCAUACUACAUUUUUCAGACUUUCAACAAUGCUCUUUCAGUCUUGUUCAUCUUAUUCGCUAUUCAGUCUGUGAUUCAUUAGCUAUAAUUUUAUUUUUAACAGAGAUUUUACUAGCCAAAAGUACAGGAAUUUGCCUCCUUUUGCUUAGAGUUGAUGGAGAAUUCGGUUCGAUCAAAUUUGUUUUUAGAAGUUUCCUCAGUUGAAGUGGUUUCUUCCAUGCUAUCACAUUACCGUGAUGAAUGAACUUCUGCAUAUAGUGGUAACUGGUAAUAGCAUAAAGAGAAUCUUAACUGACCUUGCUGCAUAACGUAAGGCCAUUUUCUCGAGGACAUUGGAGAUGAUCAGAUGGUUUAACAUAGAGCAAGAAUUCUACAUCCCGAAGAAUAAUGUGUGUGAAUGUUGAUGGCAUAUAAAGAUGAAUCUAUUCACAUGUUCUCACUUCUCAGGAUUGAUGUUAAUAUUUUUUUGUUUGAAGAACAACCGCUUAAGAAUGUCAAAUCUGAUUUUACUUCCAUAUAGACCAUGUGUUGUAGGACCAGCCACCACCAAGUCUUCUGUCAAAGAAAAGAAAGUGGUUUAGAUAUUAUUGAGUCCAGCAUGGUAUACAAUACCAACAUACAAGACGAGGCCACUUAAUGACAAGUUAACAACAAGCUUUGAGCAGCUGCGGAGUUGAACAGAGUGUUGAUAAUGGGUCAGCCUUGCAAGAAGAAGCAUGGUGAAAAAGAUAGUUAUUUGAAGGGCGCAGCAUUUAUGUCAUUUUUACACAUACUGUAAAGUAGAACCAUAUUGUACCCGUGUUAUACUAAAAUCUCUCUUGUUUAUGGUUAUUUAUCCUUGAUUUCAGCAAGAAUCAUG
Molecule: long non-coding RNA, 933 nt
Organism: Lycium ferocissimum
Lineage: Eukaryota; Viridiplantae; Streptophyta; Magnoliopsida; Solanales; Solanaceae
Exons: 3
Source: RefSeq, a predicted model, not a curated record